RNAcentral lists this unclassified non-coding RNA (404 nucleotides) under soil metagenome. Its description in RNAcentral is "partial contains 5.8S ribosomal RNA, internal transcribed spacer 2, and large subunit ribosomal RNA". The stretch from base 1 to 121 matches the Rfam family "5.8S ribosomal RNA", at positions 35 to 154 of the family's 154-position model. The record is from RNAcentral.
GAUGAAGAACGCAGCGAAAUGCGAUAAGUAAUGUGAAUUCCAGAAUUCAGUGAAUCAUCGAAUCUUUGAACGCACCUUGCGCCCUUUGGCCAUUCCGAAGGGCAUGCCUGUUUGAGUAUCAUGAUCACCUCAACUCUCAUGGCUUGCCAUGAUGAGCUUGGACUUUGGGGGUCUUGCUGGCCUGUGGUCAGCUCCUCUCAAAUGAAUUAGCUUUCCAGUGUUUGGUUGGCAUCACAGGUGUGAUAACUAUCUACGCUUGUGGUUUCCACCAGGUAACCUUCAGUAACAUGGGGGUUUGCUGGAGCUCAUAAAUGUCUCUCCUCAGUGGGGACAGCUCUUUGAACGUUUGAUCUCAAAUCAGGUAGGACUACCCGCUGAACUUAAGCAUAUCAAUAAGCGGAGGA